Molecule: transfer RNA, 84 nt
Filed under: Minisyncoccota bacterium
Lineage: Bacteria; Bacillati; Minisyncoccota
Description: tRNA-Leu
Rfam family: tRNA
About the family: Transfer RNA (tRNA) molecules are approximately 80 nucleotides in length. Their secondary structure includes four short double-helical elements and three loops (D, anti-codon, and T loops).
Source: RNAcentral
GCCCGGGUGGCGUAAUGGUAGCCGCGGAAGACUUAAAAUUUUCUGUCAUCUAAUGGCGUGCGGGUUCGAGUCCCGCCCUGGGCA